GUUUCUGUCUGGAGUCUCUGACAUCUUCCCAUCUUCAGAGUGGGUGCAGAAGUUGCGCACUCCGGCAAGCGCAGAGGCCGGCACUCCAUAAAAGAGAAGUGCCCUGUGUAUGUGAGCCGUCAGCGACCCGCAAGAAGGCUUUUCUUAGUUUUCAUUCUUAGUUAUCGUUGAAAUUUAGUGGCAAACUUUAGAAAGAGUCUGCAGUUCCUUUAGGGGCAUGUCCUGAAUCGCACAAUGGAGAGACAGGAUUCGGGGAGGGAGGAAAAUGUGGGGGAAAGCAGAGAAGAGGGAGAGGGGAAAGAGGAGAGCCAAACGCAGGAAGCAACAGACCCAAACUACAGACCAUUAUCGAGGGAGGGAACAAAGGAGGCACGAACCUCUCCCCAACCCUGUAGCAGUAUGAACCUGCAUCUAGAGGCUGCAAUGGAGUCCUGAUUUAUGCUAGGCCCAGUUCCCCAAGUCUUUGUGGGGAAAGCAGCCAGGCAGACAACACACCAAGGGUCCCAGGGAUGUUUUUUGAUGAAAGGCUCAACAGAGAAAGGAAUUGGGAAAAGCUGAGAAAGGCCAGGCACAACUCAGCAUGUCCUGCCUUUGAGGAAGCCGGAAUCAGCCAUAGUGACUGUGGCUGGAACCCCCUGUGCUCCCUCAGCACAAAGAUACCUGCUCUGAGUGUUCUGGUGAUGAGACUUGGCCCCUAAGGAACCUAUGGACCUAAGCCACAGUAGCACUUUGGGUAACUCCGGGAGGUUUUCUGUAAGACUGUAGCUGUGUGCCAGGAAGACCACACCUACACAUCACAUCUCUUUGGGGACAUCGAGCGGGAAGUUGUGUCCUUUCUUUACCUCAUUGCAUCGCACAUUUCCUAUAAUAUCCCUGGCACGUGGACCUUGCUCAUUAUUCUGCACAGCAUGGCUUAUUCCCCAUUAGCAUUUCAUAAUAUUUGCCAUUAGAAAGCAAGUCCUGUGACAGGAAGAGAUGUUAUAAACUGGAUGUUUAAUUAACAGGAAUAAAACUAUGGUCAAUCA
RNAcentral lists this long non-coding RNA (1025 nucleotides) under Mus caroli (Ryukyu mouse). RNAcentral's name for it is "lncRNA (MGP_CAROLIEiJ_G0004444.1)". The record is from RNAcentral. Lineage: Eukaryota; Metazoa; Chordata; Mammalia; Rodentia; Muridae.